Pelmatolapia mariae (spotted tilapia) is the source of this 5600-nucleotide RNA transcript. It is a transcript of the gene named chromodomain helicase DNA binding protein 1-like, with no coding region annotated. The transcript is spliced from 27 exons. NCBI's taxonomy places the organism in Eukaryota, Metazoa, Chordata, Actinopteri, Cichliformes, Cichlidae. The record is from RefSeq and is a predicted model, not a curated record.
UGUAUGAAAACAACAGUGGGAACUUGCAUGCCUGUACAUGUCUGUGAUAAAGUCGUCUUUUGUAUAAAUUGUAGUCCUGUCGGUCAGCAAACAUGUCGGACAUUUUGGUGAGAAUAAAAAACAGCAUCGCGGAGAAAAAGAAGGCGGAUGUUGCUCAAAGUGACCUGAAGAAAUGGGGAUUGAGAGGGAUACAGCUGAGACCCUACCAGCUGGACGGGGUGCACUGGUUAACUCAGUGCCUGAAGAACCAGCAGGGUUGCAUCUUAGGAGACGAGAUGGGUUUGGGUAAAACCUGCCAGACGAUCUCUCUGCUGGUGUACAUGUCAGGGGCUCUCAGGAAGAAAGGACCAUUUCUGGUGCUGAGCCCACUCUCUGUCCUGGAGAACUGGAGGAAUGAGUUGGAAAGCUUCGCUCCCUCACUGACGGUCCUGGUUUACAAAGGAGACAAAGAAAGGCGGGCAGAGAUCCAGCAGGAGGCGAACUCUCAGGACUUCCAUGUUCUUCUCACUACAUAUGAGCUGUGUCUCAAAGAUGCUUCAUUCUUGAAACGGUGGAAGUGGAAGGUGCUUGUGGUUGAUGAAGCUCACAGGUUGAAGAAUCAAAACUCGCUGUUGCACAAAACUUUGACAGAGUUCUUCAUGGGAUUCAGAGUCUUGCUGACAGGGACUCCCAUUCAGAACAACCUGCAGGAGCUCUACUCCCUGCUGAGCUUCAUCCAGCCCAGCAUCUUUAUACCAGAAGAUACAGACAGCUUUGUCAACUCUUACUCUGAUGUACAAAGUCAGCCUGCCUUGGCUGCUGAGCUCCAAAGCAUCCUGGAGCCCUUCCUGCUCCGUAGAGUCAAGUCUCAGGUGGCCGUCGAUCUGCCCAAGAAAACCGAGCUCGUGGUUUAUCACGGCAUGUCCGCUCUGCAGAAGAAAUACUACAAAGCUGUUCUGAUGAAGGAUCUGGAGGCUUUUGGAAAUGACCAAGGCAGCAAGACUCGGCUGCUGAACAUCUUGAUGAACCUGAGGAAGUGCGUUGACCACCCUUAUCUGUUUGAUGGAGUUGAGCCAGAGCCAUUUGAGAUGGGGGAACAUCUCAUCGAAGCCAGUGGAAAACUUUGUCUUCUGGACAGCAUGCUGACAUUCCUCCACAAAGGGGGCCAUCGGAUCCUGCUGUUCUCUCAGAUGACGAGAAUGCUCGAUAUUCUCCAGGACUACAUGGAGUACAGAGGUUACAGCUACGAACGUCUGGAUGGGUCAGUCCGAGGGGAGGAACGAAACCUAGCGGUGAAAAACUUCAGCAGCAAAGAUGUCUUUGUCUUUCUGCUCAGCACUAAAGCCGGGGGAGUAGGGAUGAACCUGACAGCUGCUGACACUGUCAUUUUUGUGGAUAGUGACUUCAACCCUCAAAAUGACUUGCAGGCUGCCGCACGCAGCCACCGGAUUGGUCAGAACAGGCCUGUGAAAGUGAUUCGCCUCCUGGCACGAGACACUGUGGAGGAGAUCAUGUACUCUCGCGCUGUGUCCAAGUUGCAGCUCACCAACACUGUUAUUGAAGAAGGCCGCUUCUCUUUACUGGAUCAAGCUCAGUCAGCUGCAGGAGGGCUGCAGCUAAGCGAGAUCUUGAAGUUUGGCAUUGAUAAGCUUUUGUCAUCUGAUGAGAGCUCCAUACAAGAUGUGAAACUGGAGAAGAUCCUUGGCCUGUCACAUAAUGGUCAUUGGGUGGAUGAUGACGACUACUCCCAGCUUGAAGAAAAUGAAGAGGAUGAUGAAGGGAAAGGAUCUGAAGCCGACGGGCAGAACCACCUGUACUUCUUUGAGGGGAAAGACUACAGUAAGGACCCCAGCUCUGAGGACCAGAAGAGCUUUGAUCGUUUGUUGGAGGAGCAGCUGACCGAGUUUCAGAGAGCAGCAGGAGAAGGACGAGCUCUGCGACACAAAACUGGAGUUUCACUGUCGGUAGCCCUUGGGAUUCCAACGAGGAAGAGGAAGCCUGUCACGGAGGCUGAGCUGGAGCAGAGGCGGCAGAGGAGGGAGGAGGCUGCAGCCAAGAGAGCCAAAAUGCAGGAGGAGAUGAAGCAGAAGCAGGAAGAGCAGAAAUACAAGAAAAAAAUGGCCUGGUGGGAGUCCUGCGGGUACAGAUCUCGGUGCCUGCCGUCUGUGGACAGUGAGGAAGAGGAGGAAGAAGAGGAGGAUGGCAGCAGCAUGUGCUCCACAGACUCUGACAGCACAGAUAUCCACUACGUUCUGGGGGAUGUUACUCAUCCUCACACCGCCCAGGGAGACGCCAUCAUCGUCCACUGCGUUGAUGACUCAGGUCGGUGGGGAAGAGGAGGUCUGUUUACAGCACUGGAGGUGAGAUCAGACGAGCCGCGAAAGCAGUAUGAGUUAGCUGGAAAGAUGAAAGAUUUGGAUCUUGGAAGUGUGCUUCUGUUCCCAAUUAAUGACAAACAGUCCAGAUUGAACAGCCAAGAUCAAUUAGCCCUAAUAGUGGCACAGCAACGAGACAAAGCCAACAACUUGUCUGGGAUCUUUCUGAGUGCUCUGGAUGAAGGCCUGAAGAAGAUUUACAAAGCGGCCAAAAGAACCAAGGCAAGUGUUCAUCUUCCACGUAUCGGUCACGCCACCAAAGGUUUCAACUGGUAUGGCACAGAGAGGCUCAUCAGGAAGCACCUUGCUUCCAGAGGCAUCCCCACAUUCAUAUACUAUCAUAGCAGAAAUGUCAAGAACACAGUUAUACCCCAGACAUCCACUUCAGCAUCCUCCCCGGGGCUACAGUUGCAAAAUUCUGAUGGCACCGACUCUGCAACCUCCGGGCCCUCGGCUACACUCCAGAGCCCUGCAGACCUCCCUAGUUUCAUGAACGGGGUCCGUGUGUUUUUCUACAACUUGCCUGCAUCAGAGAGGAAGAGGCUAGCCCGCUAUCUUAUCACUUAUGAUGGAGAUGAGGAGGAGAUCAUGAGUCCGGAUGUCACCCACAUAGUAGCAGAGGUGGAGAACAACAUCCACUCACAGGAGCUCCAGGAUCUGCUGCGUCAGUACAGUCAGGCUGUUCCUGUGCAGAAGGCCUGGCUCGAGUCCUGCUUUUCCAAACAAACAAGAGUCAACACUGCACAGUACCUACAUCAGCUCAGAUAACACACUGUUUUAUUGGUUUGCUGCUAUGCAGACAGUUGGUAUGAGGUGUUUGUACUGAUAUGCUGUGAUUGGUUUUCACCAAAAUGUGGCAAUGUGCAUUUUGGAUGCACAUCACCUCAUGAUGAAAACACCCCACUGCAAAUAAAUAAACAGUUUAUUAAUAAUACAUUUUCAGAUGAUGAUGAUAAGAUGCCAAUUAACAAUCUCGGGAUGACAUCCUGCGGCGGUUGGUGAGGGUCGAGAAGUACAACCCACCUCCUAUCGGGGAGCUUCCGACCAUCGUCUCCAUCCCCAUUUAAAAAAAACUCUGAGCUGAAGAACAUAAAAAAUCUAACUGUGGGACCAGAUUAAUGUUAGAGAAAAUAGUUAAUCUGGUGAUUUAGUGAAGAGAAGUGUAAAUAGUUUAAUUUGAGUGAAUUAUCUCACGGCUGAGUGCUGCUCUUUAUUUGUAAGGUGAAUCGAGCUUUGAAACUUUUGGAUAUUUUUAUUUUUAUUGCACAAAAGGACAAGAGCACGAAGGUAAAGUGCUAAGUGCAUCCAGAACAAAAACAACAGCAAUAUGCUGCUAACGGCAAAAUAGCCAAGAAUAGCCAGAGUGAUGGUUAUAGCUGAGUGAAUGCCGACCCCAGCCCAACAAACAGAUGAGCACUCAGGCUGGAGCCAGUGUUCGUGUUUCUUCAGUAGAAUCACUGUAGUGAUUGCUUUGAAGUCUCUGUGCUGGUUUUGAACUUUGUGCUGUCGGCUUUUUGUUCAUACGUAAAUACUAAGAGAAAAUCAUAUGUUUGUACUCAUUAGGACAGGGAUUUGUGUUGGUGUGUGGAGCUGUAGCCCCAGGUUUAUAUUUUUGAAUGGUGAUUGUGAGACAGUGUGUUUCAGAUCAUUUUACAGAAGGAUGCAAAAGUAAUGUAAAAAGUAGUAAUUAAGUACAUUACUUAAUUACUCAAGUUACAUACUGCAUUACUUUUAAGAAAAGUAGUCUGUAAUUUGUGUAAUAUGUUACUUCCUGAGUAGUUAAUCCAACACUGAUCACAACAAAGAGGGGAUCACAAGCGCAUGGCACAACAUAGAAGAGCCACCUCCACAGGACAAGACUCAGCAGUCCAUCUGCAUCUAAAGGACAAAGGACACUCUUUCGAGGAUGCCAAUGUUCACAUUUUGGACAGAGAGGACAGAUGGUUUAAAAGAGGAGUGAAAGAGGCCAUCUAUGUCCACUGUGAGCGACCAUCUUUGAACAGAGGCGGUGGUUUACGACACCAACUGUCUGCCAUCUAUAAUCCAGUUUUGAGUUCCCUCCCCAGACGCCUUAACGCCCACUCACAUCCUGGGCCAUCUGACCUCAGGAAUUCACAUGACAAGGUGGGGCCAGGUUUCACAAUGAGCUCACCCGAAACCCUGGCUGAUUAGGUCCCACACCCGCUUUCACACCUUGGCUCAUGUGAUUAGAGGAUCACCAGGGGGUCCUUUGUCCCUCUUUUGGGGGGGAUACUCCCACUGGGUUUAAAUCUGGGACUCUCGGCCAUUUGACCUUUAGAACUGAAGAAGCUUCUCGGAUGAGAGGUGAAACGUCUUCAAGCAACUUAAAGAAGUCCAGACGCUUUUCUUUGCAAACUCCUUUGACUACGAUGACCUGGAUGACUGAGAACCUUCACAGACAACAAAGAGGGGAAAUAGCUUCAGCAUUCACUAACAUUUGACCCACAGCAUAGAGUUCAUUUGCAUGCACGUAAUGUCUUUGAUAUGCUGCUUAGCGAUGGCAGCGACUCUCAAAGCGGGGCCAGUGGAAACCCAGUGAGAAUCAAUAAGUGAUAUGGAAUUGCUGAAUUCUUAUUAAUUCCCAUCGCUACUUAUCAUUUUCAACUUGAAGACUCAGGUUACAUUAUUAGGGGCGUGGCAACUUCCCUAGCACUUUUUUUUAUAAGGAGCCACAAAUAAAAAAAUAAACAAAUAAUUCAGCGCUUCAUCCUCUCUUUCCAAAUAUGAUCACUCACCAGCUGACACUGCUUUUAAAUGUAGGGUCACAUUAAACAGUGGCUACCUCCAUCUUUUCAAUACAGUCUGUGGAUCAUAGGUGGUUUAAUGACUACAUGUAAAUCAAUUAGUAAACUGUGUGUGUGUGUGGAGGAAGUCGAUUGGGUGAAGGUGGAGUUUCUGGGGUGGGCGGUGCAGCUCGGCAGCACGCUAAAGAUCAAACUGGCUCCGGUCUGUGCGUCAGUGUCUUUCAUGUGUCUCGCAGAGACGUGGGUAAAAAGGACAAUUAUUACUGAGGCUCGAGCCCUUCUUUCGUUAAUUCAUAUUUCUCUGAGACUCUUCGAGGACCUUUUUCCCCUUUGAGGUGUUCCUGUGUUUCCACGCCGCGGCUCAGUGACCUGAAGGAGGCUUGAUGAGUGGAAGCAGCGACGAAUUUCAUGUGCAUCUCAAACCCCACACACAUGGAUGUCAGGAGGAAAAGGUCCAAUGAUGCUGCCCACGUCGGUCUAC